GACGAACGCUGGCGGCGUGCUUAACACAUGCAAGUCGAACGGAAAGGCCCUGCUUUUGUGGGGUGCUCGAGUGGCGAACGGGUGAGUAACACGUGAGUAACCUGCCCUUGACUUUGGGAUAACUUCAGGAAACUGGGGCUAAUACCGGAUAGGAGCUCCUGCUGCAUGGUGGGGGUUGGUAAGUUUCGGCGGUUGGGGAUGGACUCGCGGCUUAUCAGCUUGUUGGUGGGGUAGUGGCUUACCAAGGCUUUGACGGGUAGCCGGCCUGAGAGGGUGACCGGCCACAUUGGGACUGAGAUACGGCGCAGACUCCUACGGUAGGCAGCAGUGGAAAAUAUUGCACAAUAGGCGGAAGCCUGAUGCAGCAACGCCGCGAGCGGGAUGACGGCCUUCGGGUUGUAAACCGCUUUCGCCUGUGACGAAGAGUGAGUGACGGUAAUGGGUAAAGAAGCACCGGCUAACUACGUG
RNAcentral lists this ribosomal RNA (468 nucleotides) under uncultured bacterium. RNAcentral's name for it is "partial 16S ribosomal RNA". It matches the Rfam family "Bacterial small subunit ribosomal RNA", at positions 28 to 507 of the family's 1533-position model. The record is from RNAcentral.